GAUGAACGCUAGCUACAGGCUUAACACAUGCAAGUCGAGGGGAAACGACAUCGAAAGCUUGCUUUUGAUGGGCGUCGACCGGCGCACGGGUGAGUAACGCGUAUCCAACCUGCCCACCACUUGGGGAUAACCUUGCGAAAGUAAGACUAAUACCCAAUGACGUCUCUAGAAGACAUCUGAAAGAGAUUAAAGAUUUAUCGGUGAUGGAUGGGGAUGCUUCUGAUUAGCUUGUUGGCGGGGUAACGGCCCACCAAGGCGACGAUCAGUAGGGGUUCUGAGAGGAAGGUCCCCCACAUUGGAACUGAGACACGGUCCAAACUCCUACGGGAGGCAGCAGUGAGGAAUAUUGGUCAAUGGACGAGAGUCUGAACCAGCCAAGUAGCGUGCAGGAUGACGGCCCUAUGGGUUGUAAACUGCUUUUAUAAGGGAAUAAAGUGAGUCUCGUGAGACUUUUUGCAUGUACCUUAUGAAUAAGGACCGGCUAAUUCCGUG
This 492-nucleotide ribosomal RNA is filed under the name uncultured bacterium. Its description in RNAcentral is "partial 16S ribosomal RNA". It matches the Rfam family "Bacterial small subunit ribosomal RNA", at positions 28 to 507 of the family's 1533-position model. The record is from RNAcentral.